GCUUAACACAUGCAAGUCGAGCGGCAGCGAGGUUAGUAGCAAUACUAAUUGUCGGCGAGCGGCGGACGGGUGAGGAACACGUAGGGAUCUGCCUUAGAGAGUGGGAUAACCAAGGGAAACUUUGGCUAAUACCGCAUAAACUCGGGAGAGAAAAGCUGCCUGCAAGGGUGGCGCUUUAAGAGGAGCCUGCGUCCGAUUAGCUAGUUGGUAGGGUAAAGGCCUACCAAGGCGAUGAUCGGUAACUGGUCUGAGAGGACGACCAGUCACACUGGGACUGAGACACGGCCCAGACUCCUACGGGAGGCAGCAGUGGGGAAUCUUGGACAAUGGGGGCAACCCUGAUCCAGCGAUGCCGCGUGGGUGAAGAAGGCCUUCGGGUUGUAAAGCCCUUUAGGUUGGGAAGAAGUGCAUAAGUUUAAGAGAUGUAUGCAUUGACGGUACCGACAGAAUAAGCACCGGCAAACUCUGUGCCAGCCGCCGCGGUAA
This 486-nucleotide ribosomal RNA is filed under the name uncultured bacterium. RNAcentral describes it as "partial 16S ribosomal RNA". It matches the Rfam family "Bacterial small subunit ribosomal RNA", at positions 46 to 523 of the family's 1533-position model. The record is from RNAcentral.